RNAcentral lists this ribosomal RNA (172 nucleotides) under uncultured bacterium. Its description in RNAcentral is "partial 16S ribosomal RNA". It matches the Rfam family "Bacterial small subunit ribosomal RNA", at positions 335 to 524 of the family's 1533-position model. The record is from RNAcentral.
ACUCCUACGGAAGGCAGCAGUGGGGAAUAUUGCACAAUGGGCGAAAGCCUGAUGCAGCAACGCCGCGUGAGCGAUGAAGGCCUUCGGGUCGUAAAGCUCUGUCCUAUGGGAAGAUAAUGACGGUACCAUAGGAGGAAGCCCCGGCUAACUACGUGCCAGCAGCCGCGGUAAU